AGGGCACACGGGGGAUGCCUUGGCUCUGAGAGGCGAAGAAGGACGUGAUAAGCUGCGAUAAGCAACGGGGAGGAGCAAAUAUCUGUUAAUCCGUUGAUUUCCGAAUGGGGAAACCCGGUAUGUUGAAGACAUAUCACCAGUAAUGGGGCUAACGCGCUGAACUGAAACAUCUAAGUAGGCGCAGGAAAAGAAAACAAUAGUGAUUUCCGUAGUAGUGGCGAGCGAAGUGGAAAUAGCCCAAACCAAGUCAGUUUCGGCUGAUUUGGGGUUGUAGGACUGCAACAUUUGUGCAAAGAGUUAGUGGAAUGUGUUGGAAAGCACAGCGAUAUGGGUGAUAGCCCCGUACACGAAAGCUGUUUGUAUGAUAGCAGUAUCCUGAGUAGGGCGGGACAUGUGAAAUCCUGUCUGAAUCUGCCGGAACCAUCCGGUAAGGCUAAAUACUCCUCAGAGACCGAUAGCGAACUAGUACUGUGAAGGAAAGGUGAAAAGAACCCUGAAUAAGGGAGUGAAAAAGAUCCUGAAACCGUGUGUCUACAAGCGGUCGAAGCCUUAGGGCGACGGCGUGCCUUUUGCAUAAUGAUCCUACGAGUUACUCCUCAUUGGCAAGGUUAAGGUUUUAAGAACCGGAGCCGAAGCGAAAGCGAGUCUUAAUAGGGCGCGAUAGUCAGUGGGGGUAGACGCGAAACCUUGUGAUCUACCCAUGGCCAGGUUGAAGUUCCGGUAACACGGAAUGGAGGACCGAACCGAUAAGCGUUGAAAAGCUUCCGGAUGAGCUGUGGGUAGGGGUGAAAGGCCAAUCAAACUGGGAAAUAGCUCGUACUCCCCGAAAUGCAUUUAGGUGCAGCGUUCAGGUUGAGUCUUAUAGAGGUAGAGCUACUGAUUGGACUAGGGGGCUUCACCGCCUACCAAAUCCUGACAAACUCCGAAUGCUAUAAGAUAUACUGAGCAGUGAGGGCAUGGGUGCUAAGGUCCGUGUCCGAGAGGGAAAGAACCCAGAUCAUCAGCUAAGGUCCCAAAAUAUACACUAAGUUGAUCAAACGUUGUGCGGUUGCAUAGACAGCUAGGAUGUUGGCUUGGAAGCAGCCAUUCAUUUAAAGAGUGCGUAACAGCUCACUAGUCGAGCGAUCGUGCGUGGAUAAUAAACGGGCAUUAAGUGUAUUACCGAAGCUAUGGAUUUCAGCUUAUGCUGAUCUGGUAGGGGAGCAUUCUAUUCAGCGUUGAAGGUGCAUGGUGAUGUGUGCUGGAGCGGAUAGAAAAGCAAAUGUAGGAAUAAGUAACGAUAAUGCAGGCGAGAAACCUGCACACCGAUAGACUAAGGUUUCCUGAGCGACGCUAAUCGGCUCAGGGUUAGUCGGGACCUAACGCGAACCCGAAGGGGGUAGUGGAUGGAUAACUGGUUAAUAUUCCAGUACUUGUUAUAACUGCGAUGGGGUGACGGAUUGAUGAAAGUACCGCGCACUGACGGAAUAGUGCGUUAAAGGAUGUAGGUAUAAGGACUGUAGGCAAAUCCGCAGACCUUGCCGAAUCUGAUAGUACCGAGAGGCUUCGGCCAAUUGGAUAGUGUACCUAAGGGAUUCCAAGAAAAACCUCUAAGCUUCAGGUUAUAACAACUCGUACCGCAAACCGACACAGGUAGUCAAGGAGAGAAUCCUGAGGUGCUCGAGUGAUUCAUGGCUAAGGAACUAGGCAAAAUGGUCUCGUAACUUCGGGAGAAGAGACGCCAGCGCAAGCUGGCCGCAGUGAAUAGGCCCAGGCGACUGUUUAUCAAAAACACAUGGCUUUGCAAAAUCGAAAGAUGAAGUAUAAGGCCUGACACCUGCCCGGUGCUGGAAGGUUAAGUGGAGAUGUUAUUUUCGGAGAAGCAUUGAAAUGAAGCCCCAGUAAACGGCGGCCGUAACUAUAACGGUCCUAAGGUAGCGAAAUUCCUUGUCGGGUAAGUUCCGACCUGCACGAAUGGUGUAACGAUCUGGGCACUGUCUCAGCCAUGAGCUCGGUGAAAUUGUAGUAUCGGUGAAGAUGCCGAUUACCCGCAACGGGACGGAAAGACCCCGUGAACCUUUACUAUAGCUUCACAUUGAUAUUGGGUAAUUCAUGUGUAGGAUAGGUGGAGAUGUUAUUUUCGGAGAAGCAUUGAAAUGAGGCCCCGGUAAACGGCGGCCGUAACUAUAACGGUCCUAAGGUAGCGAAAUUCCUUGUCGGGUAAGUUCCGACCUGCACGAAUGGUGUAACGAUCUGGGCACUGUCUCAGCCAUGAGCUCGGUGAAAUUGUAGU
Molecule: ribosomal RNA, 2272 nt
Filed under: freshwater metagenome
Description: bacterial LSU rRNA
Rfam family: Bacterial large subunit ribosomal RNA
Source: RNAcentral